AUGAAGCAGCGGCCGGAGCAGGGAGCAGGGAGCAGGGAGGCCGGAAGGCGCGUUCGGGGAGGCGCCGUGCAGGUUGUCGGCGAGGGCGACGGAGAGGUCCGGCUCACCGGGCCAGCGGACGGCAGGGCAAGGGCCAGCGCGGAGCGGGGCUCGAGCACUGCAGAGGGAGAAGGACGGCGGGAGCUGCAGGGUGCCGGCGAUGCUGAGGGCCUCACGAGCCAUGCCGGGCGACAAACACAGCUUGGGGGAGGUGCGGAUGCGAGGCCUCGCUGGUGGCCUGCUGGACGGGCGCGAGGAAGGAGACGCGUGGAGGAGGCUCGCGGGCAGGCAGCAGCGUAG
This 339-nucleotide ribosomal RNA is filed under the name Triticum aestivum (bread wheat). RNAcentral's name for it is "partial small subunit ribosomal RNA". Lineage: Eukaryota; Viridiplantae; Streptophyta; Magnoliopsida; Poales; Poaceae. The record is from RNAcentral.